Long non-coding RNA from Talpa occidentalis (Iberian mole), 1901 nucleotides. RefSeq lists it as uncharacterized. The record is from RefSeq and is a predicted model, not a curated record. NCBI's taxonomy places the organism in Eukaryota, Metazoa, Chordata, Mammalia, Eulipotyphla, Talpidae. The transcript is spliced from 5 exons.
CAUACAUGUUAUCAUUAUGUGGUAUGCUUUGAUGUUACACCUGCUACAAUUAAAAUAGUAUAUAAUGAGCACUAAGACAAUAAAGAUUUGCUGCAUGCUGGACAUGACAGUCCCCCAAGUCUGAUUUCCCUCACCGUCGCGUUUCAGGUUCGGACUCACUAGAAGUCCACACAGAAGGAGACCUGGAGGAGGCAGACGGAGCAGAGAGACAUGUGAAGAAGCUGUGCUUGCUUCUUGGCCUUGGACCUGUACCCGGAACUUGGGGGACAUGGAAGGAGACACUUGAAACAGAUGCGGGAAUGCUUGCAAUGUGGAACAUGGAGAGGACCCAGAUUUUUUAAAAUAUAACAGAAGCUAGACAUCAGCGCCCCUUGUCACAUCUGCCUACAUGAAACCCAUCAGAAGUGUGCUCCAGUGAUGCAUGUAGGUCUCAGCGUUAGGAGACCGGCAGGCAGAGGGCUGACAAAGGAGGCCAGGUCCAGGAAGAGGAGAUGAUGAUGCAGGAGACCACGUGUUAUGUUCUUCCAGCCAUAUGAAUGUCUAGAAUCGUGGAUGAGUCUUGCUUAGCUCCCUGAGGACUGGGACCACUCCUGUCUACCUUUGAGUCCUCACCGUGACCAUGCCCACAAGCUGACAUUCCAGCUCAAGUCCGAAAAGGCGUCCACAUAGUGAAGGGGAUUUUGCCUGCUUAAAAAAAAAAAAUUAGAAAUGAGUGUCACUGUGUGGCUGUGAGUGGAAUCCUCCAGGCAACUGAAACAGCUGAACCAAGAAGAGGAGAACCUGCUGCUCUGUCCGUAGGCUACAGAGACCCCUAAGGGAGGUGAGGAAGCUGCCUCCAUGGGCAGGACUGGACAACCCAGCAAAUGAAAAAGGUUUGGUACCCUCAAAAGAGGAAGCUCAGGUGGAGUCUGAGGAGACCAACUUUGUUCCUGAAGCCUACAUGGACCGGAUGUCAAGAGUUCGCUCUGAUCCUAUAUGGAGUAUUCCAAUAAAGCAGCUAAAAUUGCUGUUUAGUUAUUCUGCCUGUGAUUUUAUGCAAAAAUAGGUAAUAUGGUUUAAAAAGUAGAUUUAGUUUGCAAACUUUGCUAUGCUGUUGAAACAAUUUGGGAUUAAGGUGAGAGAACUUGUUUUUUUUACAUAAGUUCAACCAAUUUUAAGAUUUUUUUUUCCUAUGAUUCUGAUAUAUUUGCUGUCUUGUUUUAGCUAAUGCCUACAGAUGUGGGUUUUUUUUUUUUGGGCUUGGAUAAUGGACUAUUUUCCAGUAAUAGAAAAGUGUCAUACUGGAUAUUCAUGGACAAUGCUGCUCAUUGUUGCUUCUCUUACAUACAUUGUAACCCUGAAAAAAGACUGUCUCCUAAGACUACACCGUAGAUAUGGUGGAAUAAAAAUUAAAAGGGGGGAUUUAACAGGGUGGUCCCCAGGAAAGGGGGAGGUUCUAGGUUUCCUGCCCCACCCAAAAGGAGGGUGAUGCUGAGCAGGGAGAGAAGCUGCAGAGGAGACUGAGGAAGGAAGCAAGCAUAAUGGAGAGCCAGGAGACCUGGAGGAGGCACAUGGAGCAGAGAGACAAACUGCGCUUGCCUUUUGGUGGUGGACUGGUUGAAACAGAUGUGGGUGAGACUCAUGGGGAGGUGACAAUGGUGGUUUUUGUCUUGAUUUUGAUUUUGCUCUUUUCCUCCCAGACUUUUCAGGUUGUUUCUGAUCCUUUUCUGUGGGUCCCCAUUGGAAGCUGCUUUAGACUUGUGGCAGGCUUUGGGACCUUGCUCUGGGCCAAUCCCAUUUGGGUGGACUUUUACCCAUGAGGGGAUGGGUAACUUUGCGUGCUUGAUUUAGAAACUAUAUUCUUUGCCUUUCCUGUAUUAUUUACUAAUUGUAUUAAAGUUCCUUUUCAUUAAAAAAUUUAU